RNAcentral lists this ribosomal RNA (492 nucleotides) under uncultured bacterium. Its description in RNAcentral is "partial 16S ribosomal RNA". It matches the Rfam family "Bacterial small subunit ribosomal RNA", at positions 29 to 507 of the family's 1533-position model. The record is from RNAcentral.
AGUGAACGCUGGCGGUAGGCCUAACACAUGCAAGUCGAACGGCAGCACAGUAAGAGCUUGCUCUUACGGGUGGCGAGUGGCGGACGGGUGAGGAAUACAUCGGAAUCUACUUUUUCGUGGGGGAUAACGUAGGGAAACUUACGCUAAUACCGCAUACGACCUACGGUUGAAAGCAGGGGAUCUUCGUACCUUGCGCGAUUGAAUGAGCCGAUGUCGGAUUAGCUAGUUGGCGGGGUAAAUGCCCACCAAGGCGACGAUCCGUAGCUGGUCUGAGAGGAUGAUCAGCCACACUGGAACUGAGACACGGUCCAGACUCCUACGGGAGGCAGCAGUGGGGAAUAUUGGACAAUGGGCGCAAGCCUGAUCCAGCCAUACCGCGUGGGCGAAGAAGGCCUUCGGGUUGUAAAGCCCUUUUGUUGGGAAAGAAAAGCAGCAGGUUAAUACCCCGCUGUUCUGACGGUACCAAAAGAAUAAGCACCGGCUAACUUCGUG